Long non-coding RNA from Gigantopelta aegis, 814 nucleotides. RefSeq lists it as uncharacterized. The record is from RefSeq and is a predicted model, not a curated record. NCBI's taxonomy places the organism in Eukaryota, Metazoa, Mollusca, Gastropoda, Neomphalida, Peltospiridae. The transcript is spliced from 2 exons.
GUGCAGAGCUGAAAUGACCUUACUACCCGAUGAGAAUGAACAUCCCAUAUCCCUUGACAACUUAAGUAAUGACUCUACAGGCCCAUUAUUGAUGCUGUGCACUGCACUGUGUGCCCUCCCUGAGAAGUUUCUGCUGAAAGUUGUGUGUCUUGUUUUUUGACACCCCGCAACACACAGUGCUGGUAUGUUCAUGCAGAGACACAGGAGCCGGAAGUUUUGAACCCCAAUGGGCAUUUUCGUCAGACCGAUCUGCACUGACACAUUUGGCUGAGCUGCCUUACGACCUCGACCCUUUCGCUCUGGAUUGUCCACCUCUGUGUACAAGUUGUACAUACCAGAGUGGUAUGUACAAAUAUUACAGCACAAACGCUGCCGAGUGCAUACACCCCUUCUUUCUUCCGCCGGGAAGUCCCACAUCAGUUGACCAUGGCAUUCUGGAGCCAAAGUGCGGUGGUCGUUGUGUGUUCUAUUCAUCAUUUGCUCCAGUUUGCCCAUGUGGAGGACCCUGUAUGUGUCGGCCUCUGAUCUGUUGAUAAAACCCAAAUAGAAGCCCAUAAAUACUAGCACUACCUCAUUUCUUAAUGUUUUCUUGUAUCUAGCAUUUUCAUUGAUAGAUUAUCUCCCUUGGACUGUUGGACUAUUUUCACCAGUGCUACCAUGCCAAGUUGACAUUGUUUGCAAGCCAUAUUUUUCAAAUCUGACUCUUUGUGAUUGUGUUUGUAAUCACAUAAAUAGUGUAUUUAUCCAACAAAAAUGUGAUUUGCAUGCUACAAGGUAUGUAAUGUGUAACUUUCAUAUAAAAGGUAUAAUUUAA